CUCGAAUCAAGGUAGGAUAACCCCAACUUCAG
This 32-nucleotide ribosomal RNA is filed under the name Metarhizium anisopliae. Its description in RNAcentral is "partial 28S ribosomal RNA". The record is from RNAcentral. Lineage: Eukaryota; Fungi; Ascomycota; Sordariomycetes; Hypocreales; Clavicipitaceae.